GGCUGGGUAGUCUACCAUGCAGUCGAACGGUAACAGUUCGUGCUUGCUAUUCGAUGACGAGUGGCGGACGGGUGAGUAAUGCUUGGGAACUUGCCUUUGCGAGGGGGAUAACAGUUGGAAACGACUGCUAAUACCGCAUAAUGUCUUCGGACCAAACGGGGCUUCGGCUCCGGCGCAAAGAGAGGCCCAAGUGAGAUUAGCUAGUUGGUAAGGUAACGGCUUACCAAGGCGACGAUCUCUAGCUGUUCUGAGAGGAAGAUCAGCCACACUGGGACUGAGACACGGCCCAGACUCCUACGGGAGGCAGCAGUGGGGAAUAUUGCACAAUGGGGGAAACCCUGAUGCAGCCAUGCCGCGUGUGUGAAGAAGGCCUUCGGGUUGUAAAGCACUUUCAGUUGUGAGGAAAAGUUAGUAGUUAAUACCUGCUAGCCGUGACGUUAACAACAGAAGAAGCACCGGCUAACUCCGUGCCAGCAGCCGCGGUAAUACGGAGGGUGCGAGCGUUAAUCGGAAUUACUGGGCGUAAAGCGCACGCAGGCGGUUUGUUAAGCUAGAUGUGAAAGCCCCGGGCUCAACCUGGGAUGGUCAUUUAGAACUGGCAGACUAGAGUCUUGGAGAGGGGAGUGGAAUUCCAGGUGUAGCGGUGAAAUGCGUAGAUAUCUGGAGGAACAUCAGUGGCGAAGGCGACUCCCUGGCCAAAGACUGACGCUCAUGUGCGAAAGUGUGGGUAGCGAACAGGAUUAGAUACCCUGGUAGUCCACACCGUAAACGCUGUCUACUAGCUGUGUGUGCCUUUAAGGCGUGCGUAGCGAAGCUAACGCGCUAAGUAGACCGCCUGGGGAGUACGGCCGCAAGGUUAAAACUCAAAUGAAUUGACGGGGGCCCGCACAAGCGGUGGAGCAUGUGGUUUAAUUCGAUGCAACGCGAAGAACCUUACCUACACUUGACAUGCUGAGAAGUUACUAGAGAUAGUUUCGUGCCUUCGGGAACUCAGACACAGGUGCUGCAUGGCUGUCGCCAGCUCGUGCCUUGAAAUGUUGGGUUAAGUCCCGCAACGAGCGCAACCCUUGCCCUUAGUUGCCAACCUUAAGUUG
This 1094-nucleotide ribosomal RNA is filed under the name uncultured bacterium. RNAcentral describes it as "bacterial SSU rRNA". It matches the Rfam family "Bacterial small subunit ribosomal RNA", at positions 41 to 1131 of the family's 1533-position model. The record is from RNAcentral.